CGUGUACAGGCGGGAAGGCGGCACGAGCUCGCGCGGGGACUGCGCGUGCGCACAGCGGCGGAUUGCGGCUGUGGGAAGAGAGCGGUGUUAGACGUGCAUCCAGACGCCACGAGGGUGCAUCCUGCAGGAGCCGAGAACACUGUGGAUGCCACCACAAGUACCUCCUGGAGCAGGUCUGGCACACGAACCACAAGCCAGAUCUCAGCUUUCAUUGUGUUAAUGACAGAAGGAUCUUGGACCUGAGACUCCUUGAGAGUCUUGAGGAAUCCGGAGAGAAACACCGCUGAAGACAACACCGUCCACUGGGGAACUACAAAAUACGCAAUCUCAUUAUCCCAACAGACAAAGAUUCAUGUGUAAUAAAUGGCACCAGCUGAGUUGUUUCCAAUAUCCUGUUACACAUUAAACUGAA
Scleropages formosus (Asian bonytongue) is the source of this 412-nucleotide long non-coding RNA. RefSeq lists it as uncharacterized. The transcript is spliced from 3 exons. The record is from RefSeq and is a predicted model, not a curated record. NCBI's taxonomy places the organism in Eukaryota, Metazoa, Chordata, Actinopteri, Osteoglossiformes, Osteoglossidae.